AUGCAUUAUACUCAUGUGAAAAAAGAAGUGGGAGUGAUCUUUAAGAUCGAUUUUGAGAAAGCCUAUGACAAAGUGAAUUGGGAAUUCCUACUUGAUUGUCAUGUUAAACAUGGCUUUAACGCAAAGUGGUGUGGAUGGGUGUCGCAAAUCCUAAGGAAUGGCACGGUUAGUGUCAAGAUUAAUGACAAGAUAGGUCCUUAUAUUCAGAGUGCUAAAGGGGUGCGACAAGGCGACCCACACUCUCCGUUCCUGUUCAAUCUUGCAGCAGAUUGCUUGACUAAAAUGGUU
This 288-nucleotide ribosomal RNA is filed under the name Triticum aestivum (bread wheat). Its description in RNAcentral is "partial small subunit ribosomal RNA". Lineage: Eukaryota; Viridiplantae; Streptophyta; Magnoliopsida; Poales; Poaceae. The record is from RNAcentral.